RNAcentral lists this ribosomal RNA (384 nucleotides) under uncultured bacterium. RNAcentral's name for it is "bacterial SSU rRNA". It matches the Rfam family "Bacterial small subunit ribosomal RNA", at positions 28 to 412 of the family's 1533-position model. The record is from RNAcentral.
GACGAACGCUGGCGGCGUGCUUAACACAUGCAAGUCGAGCGGUAAGGCCCUUUCGGGGGUACACGAGCGGCGAACGGGUGAGUAACACGUGGGUGACCUGCCCUCAGCUCUGGGAUAAGCCUGGGAAACCGGGUCUAAUACUGGAUAUGACUCCAUGACGCAUGUUGUGGGGUGGAAAGCCUUGUGCGGCUGAGGAUGGGCCCGCGGCCUAUCAGCUUGUUGGGGGGUGAUGGCCUACCAAGGCGACGACGGGUAGCCGGCCUGAGAGGGCGACCGGCCACACGUGGGACUGAGACACGGCCAGACUCCUACGGGAGGCAGCAGGUGGGGAAUCUUGCGCAAGUGGGACGAAAGCCUGACGCAGCGACGCCGCGUGAGGAUGAC